Molecule: long non-coding RNA, 4969 nt
Filed under: Salmo salar (Atlantic salmon)
Lineage: Eukaryota; Metazoa; Chordata; Actinopteri; Salmoniformes; Salmonidae
Description: lncRNA (ENSSSAG00000121018.1)
Source: RNAcentral
CCAGCCUGGCAUCGAACUCGGGUCUGUAGUGACGCCUCAAGCAAUGUGAUUCAGUGCAUUAGACCGCUGCGCCACUCGGGAGAGUCAACGUUGGCUUUAGAUCACAAUAUUGAUCAGUUCUGAGAGAGAAUGGCUGAGUGUAUGGUCAGGGUAAUAUGAUAUAGGCCUACAGUAUAUGCUGCUGUCAUAAUCUCCAAUGGAUAGUGCUGCACUUUGCUUUUAUUUGCUCUCAGCUACAGGACAGCACACACAGGGCUUCAGGAAGACAGCAAGUCAUUUCUUCUCAGACCAGCCACUCUUUGGCAGUUUGAGUGCAUUUGUCAAGAAUGUGCUUCUCCUGGUUCCAUGUGUAGGUGAAUUCCUCACUUUCACUGCUAUUGAGAGCUGUCCUCAUGGCCCUCAUCUUACAUGUGCCCAUCAACCUCAUCUACUAGCAAUUAGCCUCCACUUGGCUCCACAGGGAGGCUGUGCUGAAGAGCCACAUAGCCUCCACUUGGCUCCACAGGGAGGCUGUGCUGAAGAGACAUAUAGCCUCCACUUGGCUCCACAGGGAGCCUGUGCUGAAGAGACACAUAGCCUCCACUUGGCUCCACAGGGAGGCUGUGCUGAAGAGACAUAUAGCCUCCACUUGGCUCCACAGGGAGGCUGUGCUGAAGAGACACAUAGUCUCCACUUGGCUCCACAGGGAGGCUGUGCUGAAGAGACAUAUAGCCUCCACUUGGCUCCACAGGGAGGCUGUGCUGAAGAGACACAUAGCCUCCACUUGGCUCCACAGGGAGGCUGUGCUGAAGAGACACAUAGUCUCCACUUGGCUCCACAGGGAGGCUGUGCUGAAGAGACAUAUAGCCUCCACUUGGCUCCACAGGGAGGCUGUGCUGAAGAGACACAUAGCCUCCACUUGACUCCACAGGGAGGCUGUGCUGAAGAGACAUAUAGCCCCCACUUGGCUCAACAGGGAGGCUGUGCUGAAGAGACACAUUUACAUUUAACAUUUGAGUCAUUUAGCUGACGCUCUUAUCCAGAGCACCUUACAGGAGCAAUCAGGGUUAAGUGCCUUGCUAAAGGGCACAUCAACAGAUCUUUCACUGGAAUUCGAACCAGUGACUUUUCGGUUACUGGCCCAACACGCUUAACCACUAGACAUGUGCCCGCACUCAGAGAGUUCCCAGACCACUCAGAGAGUUCCCAGACCACUCAGAGAGCUCCCAGACCACUCAGAGAGUUCCCAGACCACUCAGAGAGCUCCCAGACCACAGAGAGUUCCCAGACCACUCAGAGAGUUCCAGACCACAGAGAGUUCCAGACCACUCAGAGAGUUCCAGACCACUCAGAGAGUUCCAGUCAGAGAGUUCCAGACCACUCAGAGAGCUCCCAGACCACUCAGAGAGCUCCCAGACCACUCAGAGAGCUCCCAGACCACUCAGAGAGCUCCCAGACCACUCAGAGAGCUCCCAGACCACUCAGAGAGUUCCCAGACCACUCAGAGAGCUCCCAGACCACAGAGAGUUCCCAGACCACUCAGAGAGUUCCCAGACCACUCAGAGAGUUCCCAGACCACUCAGAGAGUUCCAGACCACAGAGAGUUCCAGACCACAGAGAGUUCCAGACCACUCAGAGAGUUCCAGACCACUCAGAGAGUUCCAGACCACUCAGAGAGUUCCAGACCACUCAGAGAGUUCCAGACCACUCAGAGAGUUCCAGACCACUCAGAGAGUUCCAGACCACAGAGAGUUCCAGACCACAGAGAGUUCCAGACCACACAGAGAGUUCCAGACCACUCAGAGAGUUCCCAGACCACUCAGAGAGUUCCCAGACCACUCAGAGAGUUCCAGACCACUCAGAGAGUUCCAGACCACUCAGAGAGUUCCAGACCACAGAGAGUUCCAGACCACAGAGAGUUCCAGACCACUCAGAGAGUUCCCAGACCACUCAGAGAGUUCCCAGACCACUCAGAGAGUUCCCAGACCACUCAGAGAGUUCCAGACCACAGAGAGUUCCAGACCACUCAGAGAGUUCCAGACCACUCAGAGAGUUCCAGACCACUCAGAGAGUUCCCAGACCACUCAGAGACUCCCAGACCACAGAGAGUUCCAGACCACUCAGAGAGCUCCCAUACCACUCAGAGAGCUCCCAGACCACAGAGAGUUCCAGACCACAGAGAGUUCCAGACCACAGAGAGUUCCAGACCACUCAGAGAGUUCCAGACCACUCAGAGAGUUCCAGACCACUCAGAGAGUUCCAGACCACUCAGAGAGUUCCAGACCACACAGAGAGUUCCAGACCACUCAGAGAGUUCCCAGACCACUCAGAGAGUUCCCAGACCACUCAGAGAGCUCCCAGACCACUCAGAGAGCUCCCAGACCACUCAGAGAUCUCCCAGAUGGGAGGGAGCCAGUGAGAGAGGAGGCUGGCCUGGUGGAGAGGGCGAGAUACUGUUUUAUCAGGAUGCAUGUUUUCUGUAUGUGCUCCACUUCAUCCCUGGUUACUUAACGAUAAUGAAUUAAGGAAAAGGCUAAUUGCCCUUCAAAUGUCCCUUUCCUGCUUAUAACAUUUUAACAUCAUACUUUUCAGUGUUGGUCCUUUAUACAUAAACCUGUCUGGUUGUUGGGUAUAUUGCAGAUUGCUUUUGAAUAUUAUCCGUAUGCAUCGAGUUGACUUUAUUUUUAUAUACAGAUGCUGACAUGCAAUAAUACUUCUGUGUUCCUGCAGAGUUGGUUACGCCAAGCUUACCUGUUCUCCGAAUAGCUCUUUUGUUUUAAGUGAUGCCAAUAAGAUGACAUAUCUUGAAACACCCUCUUCAGCAAACUUCUCAUGUCAUCAAAUGACUCUUAGGUUAGGCUGAAGGGGAAAUUCAUGACAAGAACAAGUAACGAGCAAACUAGACACUCUGUGGUGGUUUCUCUUCUUCUUCUGUCAGAAAGGGGUCAUGUCAUGUGUGUCUACCACUCAAAGAUCUGAGGUCAGAAGAUAAUACGUUAUUUAUAGCAUUUUCUAUGUUGUGUAACUGUUGCUUUUAUCGAAGGCUUCUACACUCUAUAGGCCAGGUGCUGCAACUCCCUUUGUUUGUCAUGUUAAGAAAUCCAGAUGGUGUCGCUGUCUUUGGUGAACUUGUCUUGAUUACUGCACACAUUUCAGAAUCAGUGUUGUUCAGGAUCAAUUAGCCUAAUCUUCUAGCAAUUUGUUGCAGUGCUAUCUAGUUCAUUGUGGCUGGUUUUCAAUUGUGUGCUUGGAUUAGAAAAGACUAGUGUAUCGCAUGCAUCUGCAGAUGUAUCUCUUGGCACACAGCAGUCACCAUCAUGGCAAGUAUCAGUGUCAAUAUGGUAAAUGAGCAUUUAGGAUUACAUUCGGCACACUGCAAACUCCUAGGUUUAUAAGGAAGAAUUUAUUGUAGAUUAAACCGUAGUUUCACUGACAAGGGCAGUUAGUCCUUUCAUAUAGGCUAGUAAAUUGACCAGUUGUCUUCCCUAAUGUCUACAUUGGUCCAACUCCAAUCUGUGGUCAAGAUUGUAAUCUAGUGUGGAUUGUUCCAACUCGUUAGCAGCCAUGCAGCUGUUCACAUUUACGUCUGGUGUCUGCCAAUGUAUAAAUCAGGGAAACAAAGACGCAAUAAUCAAUGUUUUAACAAUCAGCCGUUACAUUAAGUGAAAUGAUUCAACCAUUUAGAGACAUGGAAACAUCCUCCUCGUGUCAGCAAUAUUUGCAUUUAAUGUUAUUGGAGAUGUUUAAUAGCUAACUGGUGCCUAUGUCAUUAUUCUUAGACAUGGGGCUUUUGCAGCUGUGACUAGGCUGUAAUUGAAGAACCGUAUGCCUAACUGAGUACGAAAAUAUAGCCAAAAAGAAGGAGAAAAAGAAUCUAGAAUCUAAUAAUACAAGAUUUCUGAUGGUCAGAGGUACAAUAUUGUGAUGGGAUAUUACAAGUCACAAGGGUAAAUUCCUUUGGAUGCUUUGUAUGGAAUUCUUUCUAUAGGCCUUGUUGUGGUGCACAGAUCAUGUGAGGUGGUUCAAGGUGAGUAUGAGAGGAUAGGGAUGUUCUGUUGAAGCUUCUGUGUAAAUGAAAUGGCCUCUCUGUGGGUUUGACCAGAAAGGUGGUAUUUCUGGAGUCUAAUAUCUUAAAGCCCUUGUAAUUAGAAAUGAAAAUCCUCAAAUAAAGGUCUUUAGUCUCUGGCAGUUCUGUCAGGCCGGGGCUCUGGCUCUGUACACACCGAUAUUGUCACAAGGUUAUUGGGAAUAUAGUCCAUUGCAAACAGACCAAAUGUCACCAGUAUGUUCUGACUAGAAAAGCAAUAACGGAGUUAGGUGAAUGUCCAUCUUAGUCUUGCUUACCACACUGACUAGAUUUAUGUUUUUCGCCACAGCACAUAGAAGCCGAAGCCAUGGUAUUUCAUAGUCUUCUAGGCACAAUAUAAAGGCAAGGCUCCAGGCUGGCCUCUCGUCAUCAACUCUGACCCAUGGUGGAAUGUAAAGGGAGCUGGGUUGUAUUGUUAGUCAUGUGGGGUACGGAUGUUCUGCUGUGUGGCUUCACACUGGGUUAAGCACAGCACCUUCGUUCCCCAGGACUGGGAGAAAUUGGUAUUAAUUAGAGAGCCUUUCUCCUUGCCCAUAAACUGGAACCAUGUUUCAGGAAAUUGGAAAAGUGAGAAAGCAGCAUUGAUUUUUAUGGUCGGAAUAAAAGAGUCCAUUUGUUGAAUCCAUGUGCAGAAUGAAACAAAACCUGCUAUUGUUAUUUUUCCCCAUUAGGUAUCAAAUCAAAUCAAAAGUUAUUUGUCACAUGGACCGAAUACAAGAAGUUUAGACCUUACUGUGAAAUGCUUACUUACAAGCCCUUAACCAACAAUGCAUUUCAAGAAAUGGAGUUAAGAAAAUACUUACUAAAUAAACUAAAGUAAAAAAUAAAAUAAAAAGUAACACAAUAAAAUUGCAUAACAGUAACGAGGCUAUAUACAGGGGGUACCGGUACCGAGUCAAUGUG